This 497-nucleotide ribosomal RNA is filed under the name uncultured bacterium. Its description in RNAcentral is "partial 16S ribosomal RNA". It matches the Rfam family "Bacterial small subunit ribosomal RNA", at positions 28 to 507 of the family's 1533-position model. The record is from RNAcentral.
GAUGAACGCUGGCGGCGUGCCUAAUACAUGCAAGUCGAGCGAACAGACGAGGAGCUUGCUCCUCUGACGUUAGCGGCGGACGGGUGAGUAACACGUGGAUAACCUACCUAUAAGACUGGGAUAACUUCGGGAAACCGGAGCUAAUACCGGAUAAUAUAUUGAACCGCAUGGUUCAAUAGUGAAAGACGGUUUUGCUGUCACUUAUAGAUGGAUCCGCGCCGCAUUAGCUAGUUGGUAAGGUAACGGCUUACCAAGGCAACGAUGCGUAGCCGACCUGAGAGGGUGGUCGGCCACACUGGAACUGGAACCCGGUCCAGACUCCUACGGGAGGCAACAGUAGGGAAUCUUCCGCAAUGGGCGAAAGCCUGACGGAGCAACGCCGCGUGAGUGAUGAAGGUCUUCGGAUCGUAAAACUCUGUUAUUAGGGAAGAACAAAUGUGUAAGUAACUAUGCACGUCUUGACGGUACCUAAUCAGAAAGCCACGGCUAACUACGUG